UGCGAAAGCAGAGCAUAGUGAACCGAUGGUACGCCUUAGAUGCGGCCAGAGAUUAACGGAUAUAAGUUACCCUGGGGAUAACAGGCUAGUUCCGCCCAAGCGUCCAUAGCGACGGCGGAGUUAGGCACCUCGAUGUCGGAUCACCUUAGCGCGGGGCUGGAGAAGGUCCCAAGCGUUUGGCUGUUCGCCAAUUAAAAAGGUAAGCGAGCUGGGUUCAAACCGUGCGGAAAUGAAUCUUCGGAUUGAUUUUCGCACCCGUUUGAAUCCCUUUGAGUUUCUGUUAUCAGAACCCAAUAAAGUGCGAGUGAAUGUUUUUUCGUCUAAAACAAAUAAAAAAAGCCCCGACGUAAAAAGUCGGGGUCCCGACCAAAGCGUCGGGAAUAAGAGACAACAAUGACACGGCGACGAUAUACAGUGAUGUAUAUCGUACAGUCAACUAAUAUCGGUGGAAUCCUGCAAAGGAUAAUACCGAGGGAACCAUUAUGUGGACCCGUAGAGACUACACGUUGACCUUCUCAAUUUGAGAAGAAGAUAUAGUCCGAUGCACGCAGUAAUGCGUGGAAACAUGCGUGAGACAGGUUGGUCUCCUAUCUACUACAGGCGUUGAUUCUUGAGGAGGGUUGUCCCUAGUAAGAAAUUGCUACUUCAGAGAGAGAUCUCUGAUGACAACAUGGCUUAUAACGGUGAAGUCUGUCGCGCUUCUGGUUUUAGAGUUCGCUAUCCGACGGUUCAGUGGAUAACGAACUCGCUUGAGGACCAGAAUGACGCUAUGAUAAUACCGUGGGAAGUCGAUCAAGUAUUACAAAAAAUGCAGAACUCGCGUAUAUCGCGGGCUUCUUGGACGGAGACGGAAGUCUCAUGCUCCAAUUAAAGAAGCGUGCUGAUUCUACUAAGGGAGUACGUUUUAUGGCCACGAUUUGUCUUUAUCAAGACAGUCGUCAUAACACGCCGCUCUCGUGGAUUCGGAAGCAGCUCAAGUGCGGGUAUGUUUCUAAAAGGAACGAUGAUAUGACAGAAUUGCGCGUCAAUGGUUUUUCGCAAGUGCGAGAAACGCUUGAAGCGCUUCUGCCACAUAUUCGUUUUAAGAAGAAACAGGCGAAAUUGCUCAUUCAGGCAUGUAAAUUGCUUGAGUUGCAAACGCUCCGCACGAUGAAGCCGAAAGAUAUACAUAAGGUUGUCGAUUUACUUCUACUCAUACAGAAUGAAAACUAUAUGAGCAAGAGACGAAAGACAAAAGAAGAACUGCAUCAGAUACUUGGUUUGACCCCGUAACGACUUGCGUUGAAAGACACGCGAACUCAUGUGUUGAGGAAUCGUUCCCGAGAGAACGACAGCUCACAUGGGUAACAUGCCAUCGUCCUAAUCGCACACAAGUGCGAGAGGAUGAAGAUAUAGUCUGCACUCCUAGAAAUAGGGGAAUGAAGCGACGAGAGGACCGGGAUGAACUGACCUCUGGUCUACCAGCUGUUCUGCCAAGAGCAUCGCUGGGUAGCUAUGUCGGGUUGCGAUAACCGCUGAAAGCAUAUAAGCGGGAAGCGUGCUCCAAGAUUAGGAAUCGUUAUGAGAC
RNAcentral lists this ribosomal RNA (1567 nucleotides) under bacterium. Its description in RNAcentral is "partial 23S ribosomal RNA". It matches the Rfam family "Bacterial large subunit ribosomal RNA", at positions 2398 to 2823 of the family's 2925-position model. The record is from RNAcentral.